RNAcentral lists this long non-coding RNA (234 nucleotides) under Linum usitatissimum (flax). RNAcentral's name for it is "long non-coding RNA (LUSI_LNC000442)". The record is from RNAcentral. Lineage: Eukaryota; Viridiplantae; Streptophyta; Magnoliopsida; Malpighiales; Linaceae.
CUUCUUUCCCAAGUUAACUAUGCUACUGUGAAGAAGAGUAACAGCAAUUACUUACAAUGGCGUCUUCAUGCCUUCCCUACCACCGCUGAUAUUUCUCGUCUCACCGUCGAAUCCUGCAUCACUUUCUCCAUCUGGAUCUGACAAAACAUCGGAAUCUGGCUCCGGAGUGCUGGAUCGUUGAGAUGGAAACACAUAGUUCUCAAGGGUAUCAUCAGAGCCAUCACCAAACAGAUU